RNAcentral lists this non-coding RNA (28 nucleotides) under Bombyx mori (domestic silkworm). The record is from RNAcentral. Lineage: Eukaryota; Metazoa; Arthropoda; Insecta; Lepidoptera; Bombycidae.
UCACAAUGAACAAAAAUCAGUGGUGGUU